GACUUGAUAAAACCCCACAUAAAUUUUGAAGUGAUGGCAGCUCUUUUAAGUAUUUAAUCUUUUUCUCUCAUCAGAUAUUAAGAGCAGAACUGUGAACCUAUUUAGAUAUUAGACCCAUGGAUAACUGCCAAGUACUUCAAUUUCAGGUGAUGCCUCUUUGGAAAUGUACCCAUUUGGACACCAACGCCUAUCUACACAAAAUAGCAUACAUGAAAUUUCUAAGGUAAAAUUUUCUUACAAACACCUUUGCCCUCAAAUUUAAAAUCAAUAAGUUGUUUGACUUCACCAAUCUCUAUAUAGGAUGAAUUUACAACUUCAAUUUUAUGAAGUUGUUAUACUAACCUCAU
Molecule: unclassified non-coding RNA, 347 nt
Filed under: Hevea brasiliensis (rubber tree)
Lineage: Eukaryota; Viridiplantae; Streptophyta; Magnoliopsida; Malpighiales; Euphorbiaceae
Source: RNAcentral